RNAcentral lists this unclassified non-coding RNA (217 nucleotides) under fungal sp. Its description in RNAcentral is "partial internal transcribed spacer region". The stretch from base 1 to 46 matches the Rfam family "Eukaryotic small subunit ribosomal RNA", at positions 1786 to 1831 of the family's 1831-position model. Lineage: Eukaryota; Fungi. The record is from RNAcentral.
AAGUCGUAACAAGGUUUCCGUAGGUGAACCUGCGGAAGGAUCAUUAUCAAGUUUGCUUUAACUAGCAACUGAAUGUGUGUCAACUGUUUCCUCGCCGCCGUGUGGUGGUCCUCUGGGGCUGCCACUAUGGUCUUUUUUAACCUUUAAACCAUAAAACUUUAUGACUGAAGUAAAUUGUAAACCUAGAAAACUUUUAGCAAUGGAUCUCUAGGCUCUU